This 107-nucleotide small nuclear RNA is filed under the name Aotus nancymaae (Ma's night monkey). The record is from RNAcentral. Lineage: Eukaryota; Metazoa; Chordata; Mammalia; Primates; Aotidae.
GUGCUUGCCUUGGCAGCAUAUAUACUAAAAUUGCAACGAUACAGAGAAGAUUAGCAUGGCCCCUGCGCAAGGAUGAUACACAAAUUUGUGAACCAUUCCAUAUUUAA